CCUACGGGAGGCAGCAGUGAGGAAUAUUGGUCAAUGGACGAGAGUCUGAACCAGCCAAGUAGCGUGAAGGAUGACUGCCCUAUGGGUUGUAAACUUCUUUUAUCUGGGAAUAAAAUGUUCCACGUGUGGGAUUUUGUAUGUACCAUAUGAAUAAGGAUCGGCUAACUCCGUGCCAGCAGCCGCGGUAAUACGGAGGAUCCGAGCGUUAUCCGGAUUUAUUGGGUUUAAAGGGAGCGUAGGUGGAUUGUUAAGUCAGUUGUGAAAGUUUGCGGCUCAACCGUAAAAUUGCAGUUGAAACUGGCAGUCUUGAGUACAGUAGAGGUGGGCGGAAUGCGUGGUGUAGCGGUGAAAUGCUUAGAUAUCACGAAGAACUCCGAUUGCCAAGGCAGUUCACUGGACUGCAACUGACACUGAGGCUCGAAAGUGUGGGUAUCAAACAGGAUUAGAUACCCGUGUAGUC
This 460-nucleotide ribosomal RNA is filed under the name uncultured bacterium. RNAcentral's name for it is "partial 16S ribosomal RNA". It matches the Rfam family "Bacterial small subunit ribosomal RNA", at positions 338 to 795 of the family's 1533-position model. The record is from RNAcentral.